AACGGUAUAGCUCAGCAGUCAGAGCGCCGGGACUCGGUUCCGGAGGUCGGCGGUGCGAAUCCGCCUGCCGUUCCCA
Molecule: transfer RNA, 76 nt
Filed under: Duncaniella sp.
Lineage: Bacteria; Pseudomonadati; Bacteroidota; Bacteroidia; Bacteroidales; Muribaculaceae
Description: tRNA-Arg
Source: RNAcentral